This 253-nucleotide ribosomal RNA is filed under the name uncultured bacterium. RNAcentral's name for it is "partial 16S ribosomal RNA". It matches the Rfam family "Bacterial small subunit ribosomal RNA", at positions 524 to 776 of the family's 1533-position model. The record is from RNAcentral.
UACGUAGGUGGCAAGCGUUGUCCGGAUUCAUUGGGCGUAAAGAGCGUGUAGGCGGUCAGGUAGGUCGGUUGUGAAAACUGGAGGCUCAACCUUCAGAGGUCGACCGAAACCAUCUGGCUAGAGUCCGGGAGAGGAGAGUGGAAUUCCUGGUGUAGCGGUGAAAUGCGCAGAUAUCAGGAAGAACACCCGUGGCGAAAGCGGCUCUCUAGAACGGUACUGACGCUGAGACGCGAAAGCGUGGGGAGCGAACAGG